RNAcentral lists this long non-coding RNA (4388 nucleotides) under Homo sapiens (human). RNAcentral describes it as "HSALNT0401969". Lineage: Eukaryota; Metazoa; Chordata; Mammalia; Primates; Hominidae. The record is from RNAcentral.
CUCUCUUUAUCCUGCAAGGAAGCUCUGCAGGAAACUCUCCAAGAGGACAAUAAGCCCCCUUGCCUUUGCAAAAACAUUUUAAUACCUGUUAUUUUCAGCUGAGUCCCGCACAGAUCGGCAGCACCGGUUUUGAAGGCCACGUGUACUCCAGAUUCUUGUCACCAACGGUACCACUGCUCCGCCUUGAAUGCUGUCUCCCCUGAGCUGUGAGUCCCAGGGCAGAUGCUACCCUUCUCACCCUGUGUCCCAGCUCCAGUCACACCCACUGGUCCAAUGUGGGCUGGCACAGAAGACUGCAGGCCUGGGGGUGCCCAGCACUGGGACUGGAGAUCAGAACACCUGACUUCAAAGUCUGGUUUGAGCACUUUCUAGCUGUGUGCCCUUGGGUAAGUCUUUGGUCAUGCUGAGCCUUGGUUUCUUUCACUGUAAAAUGGGAUCCUAAAGUGCCAACUCGGCCGGGUGUGGUGGCUUCAUGCCUAUAAUCCCAGCACUUUGGAAGGCUGAGGGGGGCGGGUGGAUCACUUGAGGUCAGGAGUUUGAGACCUGCCUGGCCAAUAUGGUGAAACCCUGUCUCUACUAAAAAUACAAAAAAUUAGCCAGGAGUGGUGGCACGCAUCUGUAAUCCCAGCUACUCAGGAGGGUGAGGCAUGAGAAUCGCUUGAAUCCAGGAGGCGGAGGUUGCAGUGAGCUGAGACAGUGCCACUGCACUCCAGUCUUGGUGACAGAGUGAGACUCUGUCAAAAAAAAAAAUUAUACCAUGGAGUGGAUAUGAGGGCGCAAGGAGAUCAUGGGGGCCUGUGCUCAGCCUGGCAACAGGAGCACACAAUUUACACCUGUUAUCAAAGAUGAACGGCCAAAUGAAUGGAGGAAUGAAGGGAGUGGACCUCGAGAUUGCGUGCAUUUUCUAUUUUUUCCAUGGCAUGAGAUGGUGUUUAGGGAGUCAGUGGUGUUGGUGAAAACACACACACACAGCAGGAUAAGAACAGGUGGGUCCUUCUGUUGAUCCACGUCCUUGCCCUCCCCUUGGCCUUCCUCCAUCCUUCUCUCUCUCGGCCCCCUCCUGCUCCCACCACUCCCCAUCACUCUCUCAGGAUGAAUGAGAGGGAAGCACUGAAACCCCCUGACCAGCCCCCACUGCAGCAUGGCCUUGAGGAGCAGAGGCCACACCUGAGAGCAGGAGGGCCUGGAUUCACGUACUGAAGCCACCGUUCCCUGGCGGGGUGACCUGGAAUUCUUGAUUCUGUUUCCUCCCUGGAAUUCCCCAUUAUCUCGUCACACCUUCACAUCCACUCUAUGAGGCUGGUACUUUAGGAUCCCCAUUUAGCAGCUAGAGAAACAGAGGCUCAGGGUAACUAAAGAGUUCCUGCCUUGGAGGGUUGGGAGGAUGAAAACUUGCAACUUCCGUGUGCAAGUUGCUUGGCCCAGUACCUGAGGACAAAGGAUGGUCAGUAAACAAGUCCCUGUGCCCUCCCUCCUCCUUUGUCCUCCUUUUGUUUCUGGGCUAUGAUUCACACCUGGGUUAUGGGAGCUUCAGAAAUCCUGUAUUUUCUAGGCACCAGAGGGCUGUCAGAACAGGGACAGGAAACAGGGGAGCUGGAAUGGAGUCAUGGAGAAGUUGAUCAGGGAGGCCACUCAAGUGUCUCCACCUGUGGAAACUCAUGCUGGCUCCAGGAUGCAGGCGUGUGCAGCAGGUGAAGGGGUUGAGGCUGGGGAGCGGGAUACCAGGCAGAAAGAAAGGCAAGAGCAAGAGAGCAGGGUGUUCAUGGGCGUCUGCGAGGAGCCACUUGCCAGACACCAGUGACUGAUCAGCUCCGGAGGACGUGCCAUGUUCAGAGAUGCCCCACCUGUCUUGUUCUUGAUAAGGACACCCCGCUUGACUGAGAAUUAUAGUGGAGAUCAACCCAACGGCCUCAAAUUCCAGGGACCUGCAGAUGGAUACUAGUGUCCUUCAAUAUCAAGAUUCUGGAAUUCUUGCCUCCUUAUUUAUUCAAAUGGAUUAACUGAGAACCUACUGUGUGCAGACAGCAUUCUCAGUGCUGGGAUACAAGCAUGAACAAGACAAGGUCCUGGCCUUCUGUCUUAGUCCAUUUGGGCUACUGUAACAAAAUACCUUAGACUGGGUGGCUUAUAAACAACAGAAAUGCAUUGUUUACAGUUCUGGAGACUGGGAAGUCUAAGACCUAGGCGCCAGCAGAUUCUGCAUCUGAGCUCUGUGCUUCACGGUGUCUUCUUGCCACGUCCUCCCAUGGCCAGAGGGCAAAAAGCUCCCUCAGGGCUUUGUUAUAAGGGCAAGAAUCCUGUUCAUGAGGGUGGGGGCCUCCCUAACCCCAAAGGCCCCCUCUUAGUACCAUCAGACUGAGGAUUCAGUUUCAACACAUGGAUGUGGGGGACACAGACAUUCAGACCAAGUGGCCUCUAGGAUGGCCGUGAUGCUAAUGGAAGCAAAAGUGGUGCAAAUCAGGAAGGCGGGAUUUUCCUCCACUCAAUCCGGUGACAAACUUCUUUUCCUGUCUCACUUUACAGGCAAGGAGACUGGUCCUUUGCCCAGAUCCCACAGCCAGAGAGGGGCGAGGCAGGAUGGAAACCCUGGUCUGUGUCCCUCGGAGCCUGGGCCCUGGGAUGUGUGAGUCUCUUCUGGCUUCUGUAACAAAUGACCACUAACUGGCUAGAGACAGCACAACUGUAGCAUCUUACAGUUCCGGAGCUCAGGAGUCGGAAACGGGCCUUGCCUGGCUAAAAUCAAGGUGUCAGCCGGAAGGCGCUCUCCCUGGAGGCUCUAGGGGAGAAAGUUGUUUCUUGCCUUUUCCAGCUUUUAGAGGCUGCCUGCAUUCCUUGGCUCAUAGCCGCCUCUUCCAUGUUCAAGGCCAGCAAUGGAGCAUCCUUAAAUCUCCCUUUCUGACUCUGGCCGUCCUGUCUCCCUCUUAUGAGGACCCUUGUGAUGACACUGGCUCCUCCAGAUCAGCCAGGAUCACCUCCCCACUUGGAGAUCCUUGACUUCCUCACAUCUGUAAAGUCCCUUCUGCCGUGUGACAUAUAAGGAGGCCAAGAUGCGUCUGAUCUUUAAAAGACUAAAGCCCCCCAAACAAGUCUGAGGAGACUCCUGGCUUGUUUUUAUUUUGGCCAGGAAAGUUUUCCAAUAUCCCUGGCCUUCAGGCUUGUCCCCUAGGAGGAUGGAGGGACUGAGCUGGGGAGAUGUCUGUGAAUGGGGGUGGGGUGGAUUCACAGGUUUCAGGGGUUAGAACGCCAGUGUCUUUGGGACCCAUUAUUCUGCCUUCCACUGCGUGGAUGAUGGGAAAGCUCCUGGUUCCAGGGCGCAAACUUAGCCUGGCUCUUUGGCCUCUCUGUGCCUCAGUUUAUAUAAUGAGGGUGAGGAGAAUAUCUGUUGGGGUUGUUGAAGUAGUGAAGGAGUUGGUAAUUGAAAAGUGCUAAGCAUAUGCCAGGCACUGUGGACACAUGCGCUGUACCUUUUGGGAGGGCACAUCCCUCCCCCACCUGCUACCACCCCACCCAGGCUGGCAUGCAGUGGUGCAAUCACAGCUCACUGCAGCCUUGACUUUCCGGGGCUUAAGUCAUCCUCCCACCUCAGCCUCCGGAGUAGCUGGGACCACAGGUGCACACCAUUACACCCAGCUAAUUUUUAAAUUUUUUGUAGAGACGGGGUUUUGCCAUGUUGUCUAGGCUGGAAGUCCAUCUGACAUUGAAGUUCUCUUUCAGUUUUGACAUCUGAUCCAUCUAGGGCUGUGUGUGUGUGACAGUGUGUGUGUGAUUGUGUGUGUGUGUAUGAUUGUGUGUGUGUAUGAUUGUGUGUGUGUGUAUGUGUGCACAUGUCUUUAUGGGGAUUGAGGGUGGGUGGAACAGAGACUGGGAGAGACACUUUGUGAAAUGUUUAUAUUUUAUGCCUUUUGAUGUAAUUCCAACUAGAUCUUAAAUCAUGCAGCAGGAAGCUCCUUAAAAUUUUUAAUUUGUUGUUUUUCUUAGAAAUGAUUAUUUCCACAUUGCGCCCAGAGACACUCGUGCCUCGUCCUGCCUCCCAUCCUUGUGCUGUUCUAAAAGGUCCCCAGGCGGUGGUUGUUUACUGCUGCCAAUCAGGUGGGCUUUGCACAAACCAUGCUUUGGGCCCACCCUGUCGUUCUGUGAAGCUGUAAUAUCUUUGGGAAGAUUUUUAUAGCUUGUCCCACAUAGGCUGGGGCUGGGAUAUUUAGAAGAAGGCCAACCUGUAGAUUCCUUGCUAAAAACCACAUGGUAUUUUACAAGACGGGUUGAGAGGGAGAGCUGGGGCUGGGUGUGGGGCGGCAUAGAGCUGGAUUCUUGGGGAAUCUUCUCCACAUUUAAUUUAAUUUUUGACGCCGAGAGCUUGAUCCUGGUUUUGAAGAACUGGAGUAUAAGAA